RNAcentral lists this unclassified non-coding RNA (218 nucleotides) under rhizosphere metagenome. RNAcentral describes it as "partial ribosomal RNA internal transcribed spacer region". The record is from RNAcentral.
GUAGGUGAACCUGCGGAAGGAUCAUUAUCAAUAAGCGUUUCCUUGAGUCAUUUAGAUGGCUUGGGGGAUUGUUUUUUGUGCACUGUUUUUUUUUAUCUUGAUGUUUUUCAUUAAGAUGAAUUUUGAUUUUCUUAUACUUUCUUUAUUUUAAUUGUAAUUCUAUUACAAAUAAUUAAAUUAAAAAAAGACAACUUUCAGCAAUGGAUCUCUUGGCUCUU